UAUCAAUAAGCGGAGGAAAAGAAACUAACAAGGAUUCCCCUAGUAACUGCGAGUGAAGCGGGAAAAGCUCAAAUUUAAAAUCUGGCGGUUCUUGUAGCCGUCCGAGUUGUAAUUUAGAGAAGCGUUAUCCGCGCUGGAACCGUGUACAAGUCUCCUGGAAUGGAGCGUCACAGAGGGUGAGAAUCCCGUCUUUGACACGGACUACCAGGGCAUUGUGAUGCGCUCUCAAAGAGUCGAGUUGUUUGGGAAUGCAGCUCAAAAUGGGUGGUAAAUUCCAUCUAAAGCUAAAUAUUGAGGAGAGACCGAUAGCGAACAAGUACCGUGAGGGAAAGAUGAAAAGAACUUUGGAAAGAGAGUUAAACAGUACGUGAAAUUGCUGAAAGGGAAACGCUUGAAGUCAGUCGCGUUGUUCAGGACUCAGCCUUGCUUUGCUUGGUGUACUUCCUGUUCGACGGGUCAGCAUCAAUUUUGGUCGGUGGAUAAAGGCUUAGAGAAUGUGGCAUCUUCGGGUGUGUUAUAGCUCUGGGUCGCAUACAUCGGCUGGGAUUGAGGAACUCAGCACGCCGCAAGGCCGGGUACUUGUACCACGUACGUGCUUAGGAUGCUGGCAUAAUGGCUUUAAUCGACCCGUCUUGAAACACGGACCAAGGAGUCUAACAUGCCU
Molecule: ribosomal RNA, 664 nt
Filed under: Mycena phaeonox
Lineage: Eukaryota; Fungi; Basidiomycota; Agaricomycetes; Agaricales; Mycenaceae
Description: Mycena sp. AC-2018e partial large subunit ribosomal RNA
Rfam family: Eukaryotic large subunit ribosomal RNA
Source: RNAcentral